Lampris incognitus (smalleye Pacific opah) is the source of this 539-nucleotide long non-coding RNA. RefSeq lists it as uncharacterized. The record is from RefSeq and is a predicted model, not a curated record. NCBI's taxonomy places the organism in Eukaryota, Metazoa, Chordata, Actinopteri, Lampriformes, Lampridae. The transcript has 3 exons.
UGGAGCUGAGAGGGGCAGAUAAGGCUGUGGCUUCUGCGAAUGUCAGUGUGUCGCAGCAUAAACCAUCCACAACUCCAGCCACAUCCCCCAAGCCUGAGGACAAAACACUCCGUUUGAACAGCUGAAGGAGGAUGCUGACGCUGUUUGGUCAAUCCAACAUCUAGGAGUCUGAAGAAGAACACAUCACAGCAAAACACUACCGUCAGCAGAGCAUGUGCUGUCACCUGCUCACAGUGAAAGAUAGAGUCACGGAUGAGCGAUGAAGCAAACUACAGCCAGCACAUCUGAGCUACAGAGAAGCUCUUCAUAUCUCUGGCAGCUGAGCUAGCCUUGUGCUUGAGCUAGCCUCGUGUUUGAGCUAGCCUUAUGUUUGAGCUAGCCCUGUGUCUGAGCCAGCCUUGUGUCUGAGCUAGCCUUGUGCUUGAGCUAGCCUUGUGUUUGAGCUAGCCUUAUGUCUGAGCUAGCCCUGUGUCUGAGCUAGCCUUGUGUUUGAGCUAGCCCUGUGUCUGAGCUAGCCUUGUGUCUGAGCUAGCUUUGUG